Non-coding RNA from Chelonoidis abingdonii (Abingdon island giant tortoise), 142 nucleotides. NCBI's taxonomy places the organism in Eukaryota, Metazoa, Chordata, Testudines, Testudinidae. The record is from RefSeq and is a predicted model, not a curated record.
AAAAGUUGUGAUUAAUUGCAGUUUUAAUUUCACUGUUAAACAAUAAUAGAAUUCCAAUUUAAAUUCAGCAUGGGAGCACGGCCUCUAGAAUGGUGGUUGAAGCAUGAAAGGACAUACGAAUCUCUAACAAAUCUGGCUUGUA